AUUCAUUUGUACUUCAUGAGCAUCAUGAGAAGGUGUUCACGCUUUUGUGUGACAUGUGCCUCCCUCAAACCUUGCUAUGACCUUUGCACAUUAUCUGUCUGGCA
Molecule: small nucleolar RNA, 104 nt
Organism: Mustela putorius furo (domestic ferret)
Lineage: Eukaryota; Metazoa; Chordata; Mammalia; Carnivora; Mustelidae
Source: Ensembl